This 77-nucleotide transfer RNA is filed under the name Thiothrix lacustris. Its description in RNAcentral is "tRNA-Val". It matches the Rfam family "tRNA". From Rfam's summary of the family: Transfer RNA (tRNA) molecules are approximately 80 nucleotides in length. Their secondary structure includes four short double-helical elements and three loops (D, anti-codon, and T loops). Lineage: Bacteria; Pseudomonadati; Pseudomonadota; Gammaproteobacteria; Thiotrichales; Thiotrichaceae. The record is from RNAcentral.
AGGCGUAUAGCUCAGUUGGUUAGAGCACCACCUUGACAUGGUGGGGGUCGCUGGUUCGAGUCCAGUUACGCCUACCA